UACGGGGGGGGCAAGCGUUGUUCGGAAUUACUGGGCGUAAAGGGCUCGUAGGCGGCCAACUAAGUCGGACGUGAAAUCCCUCAGCUUAACUGGGGAACUGCGUCCGAUACUGGAUGGCUUGAAUCCGGGAGAGGGAUGCAGGAUUCCAGGUGUAGCGGUGAAAUGCGUAGAUAUCUGGAGGAAUACCGGUGGCGAAGGCGGCAUCCUGGACCGGCAUUGACGCUGAGGAGCGAAAGCCAGGGGAGCAAACGGG
This 253-nucleotide ribosomal RNA is filed under the name uncultured bacterium. Its description in RNAcentral is "partial 16S ribosomal RNA". It matches the Rfam family "Bacterial small subunit ribosomal RNA", at positions 524 to 776 of the family's 1533-position model. The record is from RNAcentral.